GCCAUUGAUGGUAGGAAGAGGUCUUCAGCAUAAUCACAGCUGCUCCCGUCAGUGUGCCCUGUUGCCCUGCAGACUGACUGACAGCAAAUGAAGGUUUUACUUCUGUGCCAGUUUGGCAGGAAUUUUUCCUCACUGCAUUCCGCAAGCCCAGAGAAACUUGCUGGAACUCAUACAAAACCCUCUCCUGCUGCCAUAUUAGGAAUCAAAAUGUGUAGCAGAACCCUACUGCCAAGUCGAGAUAAUCAACAGGGAAUGUCUGUGCCUUCAAGCCAAAUGAGUGCAGAGAAAUGAUCAAGGCAGCAAUGAAUAAUAAAACUGAGCACUGGCUUUAGAUUAUGGUCUUGUUAUAUCCCACUCACUAAUAAAGCUGUGCUGGAAAUUUCUGUACCUCUUGGCUAGUCAAGUACCAGAGUCUAGUUCUAAUUUUAUGGUG
This 433-nucleotide long non-coding RNA is filed under the name Capra hircus (goat). RNAcentral's name for it is "lncRNA (ENSCHIG00000001387.1)". The record is from RNAcentral. Lineage: Eukaryota; Metazoa; Chordata; Mammalia; Artiodactyla; Bovidae.